GAUUAACGCUGGCGGCGUGCCUAAUGCAUGCAAGCCGAACGGCUCGAUUUAUCGAGCAGUGGCAAACGGGUGAGUAACACGUAAGAACCUACCCUCAAGUGGGGGAUAACCCCGAGAAAUCGGGGCUAAUACCGCAUACGCUCUCUGAUUCUGUCAGGGAGGAAAGUUGAGGCGCUUGAGGACGGGCUUGCGUCCGAUUAGCUUGUUGGUGAGGUAAUGGCUCACCAAGGCUGAGAUCGGUAGCUGGUCUUAGAGGAUGAUCAGCCACACUGGGACUGAGAUACGGCCCAGACUCCUACGGGAGGCAGCAGCAGGGAAUAUUGCGCAAUGGGUGAAAGCCUGACGCAGCAACGCCGCGUGGGGGAUGAAGGCCCUCGGGUCGUAAACCCCUUUUCU
RNAcentral lists this ribosomal RNA (396 nucleotides) under uncultured bacterium. RNAcentral's name for it is "bacterial SSU rRNA". It matches the Rfam family "Bacterial small subunit ribosomal RNA", at positions 28 to 439 of the family's 1533-position model. The record is from RNAcentral.